Molecule: microRNA precursor, 104 nt
Filed under: Marmota monax (woodchuck)
Lineage: Eukaryota; Metazoa; Chordata; Mammalia; Rodentia; Sciuridae
Source: RNAcentral
AUGUGAAUAACCUGGGUAUUUUGUAAAAUGCAGAAUUUGAUUCAGUUGGUCUGAGAGAGAUAGAAAGAGUCUGCAUUUCUGUAAAGUUCUCAGGUGAUGCUGAU